CCUACGGGUGGCAGCAGUGAGGAAUAUUGGUCAAUGGACGAGAGUCUGAACCAGCCAAGUAGCGUGAAGGAUGACUGCCCUAUGGGUUGUAAACUUCUUUUAUAUGGGAAUAAAAUGUUCCACGUGUGGGAUUUUGUAUGUACCAUAUGAAUAAGGAUCGGCUAACACCGUGCCAGCAGCCGCGGUAAUACGGAGGAUCCGAGCGUUAUCCGGAUUUAUUGGGUGUAAAGGGAGCGUAGGUGGAUUGUUAAGUGAGUUGUGAAAGUUUGCGGCUCAACCGGAAAAUUGCAGUUGAAACUGGCAGUCGUGAGUACAGUAGAGGUGGGCGGAAUUCGUGGUGUAGCGGUGAAAUGCUUAGAUAUCACGAAGAACUCCGAUUGCGAAGGCAGCUCACUGGACUGCAACUGACACUGAGGCUCGAAAGUGUGGGUAUCAAACAGGAUUAGAUACCCCAGUAGUC
RNAcentral lists this ribosomal RNA (460 nucleotides) under uncultured bacterium. RNAcentral's name for it is "partial 16S ribosomal RNA". It matches the Rfam family "Bacterial small subunit ribosomal RNA", at positions 338 to 795 of the family's 1533-position model. The record is from RNAcentral.